GUGAUGAUGGUGAUGGUGAUGAUGAUGAUGGUGAUGAUGAUGAUGAUGGUGAUGAUGAUGAUGAUGAUGAUAGUGAUCGUGAUGAUGAUGGUGAUGAUGGUGAUGAUGAUGAUGAUUGCACAUAUAAUUAUUAUUUAACAUCACACAACACAUGCUGUAGUGUGUGUUAGACCCUUAAGGGUUAUUCUGUUGUCCAUCUGGUGGAACCUUUUAAUAGUUCUACUUAGAACCCUACAGCAAAAUGUUUUCUUAUCAGAAACCUUUGUUUUGGAAGCUGCUAAGAAUCCUUUACAUUUUCUCUCAUUAUUUUCUUCUCAAUAACUAGGACCUGUCUAGAAGCUUCUUGGUACUUGGUACACUCUUCAAGAGUUCUUUCAGGGUUCUUAACUUCCUAAAAGAGUUCUACCCGGUACAAUUCUAAAGUAGAAACGGCAGUGAAUGUGGUGUCUCACUUCCACUCGCACUUUUCCUCACUUCUCCACACACACAAACACUCGCACACACACACACACACACACAUUGCACACGUUGCCCAGCCUCAUAGAGAAAUCUGUACAUUACUCAGAACCUGUUCACUGCCGACAGUCGAGUUCAUUUUGUUCUGUCGUCGUGUUUUUUUUUCUCUUGUUCGGUUCUUUGUGAAAUCAUUUUGAAUGCGUUAUACAAACUGCUCGGCUUUCUUUACUUUCAGAGCUUUAAACUUGUUUUGUUUUUGUUUUUUGGUUUCACGUGAUCACGUCUCGCUCGAUGCUCUCUCAGACUUCUCACCAAAGUCCCGACCCGAAGCUGAGCGUCUGAAUCCGAGCUUAUUUAUCCGUUUGUAUCCUUUCUGCAGGUUUCCUGCUUUCUUUUCAGCGAGGAAUCUGACCUGGUGAAUUAUCUGUGCAUUGAUGAGCAAUAUUGCAGGAGCAGAACUUUACGCUGUUAAUAAAGUUCUUAUAAUAAAGCUGAUGUUUUUUCCACAUCACCUACUCCCAGCUCUGACUCUGUGUCUUUGUACUAAAGGUGUUCUCUUCUCUCCAGUUAACGUUUUAGUGAAGUGCUGAAGCUACGAAAGUACAGCUUCAAAUUAUUUACUCACGGUAAAAUACAAAAAGC
Ictalurus punctatus (channel catfish) is the source of this 1098-nucleotide long non-coding RNA. Lineage: Eukaryota; Metazoa; Chordata; Actinopteri; Siluriformes; Ictaluridae. The record is from Ensembl.